UACGGAGGGUGCGAGCGUUGUCCGGAAUCACUGGGCGUAAAGGGCGCGUAGGCGGCCUGAUAAGUAGGGGGUGAAAUCCUGCGGCUUAACCGCAGGGCUGCCUUCUAAACUGUCAGGCUCGAGCACAGUAGAGGCAGGUGGAAUUCCCGGUGUAGCGGUGGAAUGCGUAGAGAUCGGGAAGAACACCAGUGGCGAAGGCGAGUCCCUGGACGACUCCUGACACUGAGGCACGAAAGCUAGGGGAGCAAACAGG
RNAcentral lists this ribosomal RNA (253 nucleotides) under uncultured bacterium. Its description in RNAcentral is "partial 16S ribosomal RNA". It matches the Rfam family "Bacterial small subunit ribosomal RNA", at positions 524 to 776 of the family's 1533-position model. The record is from RNAcentral.